This 68-nucleotide transfer RNA is filed under the name Acanthodactylus schmidti. Its description in RNAcentral is "tRNA-Glu". It matches the Rfam family "tRNA". Rfam says of the family: Transfer RNA (tRNA) molecules are approximately 80 nucleotides in length. Lineage: Eukaryota; Metazoa; Chordata; Lepidosauria; Squamata; Lacertidae. The record is from RNAcentral.
GUUUUAAUAGUUGAAUACAACGGCGGUUUUUCAAGUCGCAGGUUUUGGUGCAAGUCCAGAUUAAAAUA